GGGGUUGUGGCUCAGUGGUAGAGCACAUGCCUUGCAUGUGUGAGGCACUAGGUUCAAUCCUCAGCACCA
Molecule: transfer RNA, 69 nt
Filed under: Ictidomys tridecemlineatus (thirteen-lined ground squirrel)
Lineage: Eukaryota; Metazoa; Chordata; Mammalia; Rodentia; Sciuridae
Description: Spermophilus tridecemlineatus (thirteen-lined ground squirrel) tRNA
Rfam family: tRNA
About the family: Transfer RNA (tRNA) molecules are approximately 80 nucleotides in length. Their secondary structure includes four short double-helical elements and three loops (D, anti-codon, and T loops).
Source: Rfam by way of RNAcentral